This 1093-nucleotide small RNA is filed under the name Vigna angularis var. angularis. RNAcentral's name for it is "Non-protein coding transcript". The record is from RNAcentral. Lineage: Eukaryota; Viridiplantae; Streptophyta; Magnoliopsida; Fabales; Fabaceae.
AUUUAGUAGGACGACGCCGUUUUGAAGAGCAGCUUCCUUAGGGGUCCUCGCACUCUCGUUCAAAGCUUCAUUUGGAGAAAGGAAAAGCACUCCCUCGAGCUAGGGCAUGUGCGAAAGAAAGAGAGAAUGUGAAAAGAGUAAAGCUCUCAAUGCUCAAGCCACUUGCCCAGAAAGCGCGAUCCUGACCAUAGAAGACGAUCGGUGAGAAGCUCCAGUUGAUCGGAAGGCUGGAGUUGAAGAAGUAAAGAGGGUUGUCCGAUUGAGAAGAGGAAGCGUAAAGGAGAAGUUUCAAGAGUUGUCAAGGUUUCCUUUUUCCCUUUCCCUCUAUCUCUGACCCUAUAAAAAGGGCAUGUAAAUAGUUUUGUGUGGUAACACGGAGGGUGAGAGGCUCCGUGAGGGACGAUUCGAGAGAGCGAGUGGAGGGUGACAGACUCCACGAGAGCAGUGGGUGACAGACGCUGCGCGUAGGGUACAGAUCGCGAUUCAUUUCUAGUAUAGGUCAACCAUAUUGGGUCGCUGCAAUUGGGUUGAGCUUUAGUUAAACGACGUCGUUUUGGCUGGUCUGCUACUGCUCUGGAAUUUGCUCGAGCUCAUCACUUCAUUUGCCACAUUCGAAGCACCAAUGUGCUAGGGUUUCCAGUGAGCGUGAGAGAGGGAGAAGAAGAGCACAUGCAAUCAUGACCGAAGCUUGAAGUUGAACCAGAGGCACGUGCGGGAAGCUUAAUCAGCAGAAAGGAAGAAGAAAGAUGAAGAGGUACGGUGGAGGGUGACAGACUCCACUCGAGUGUGUUGUGGUAUCGCGGAGGGUUACAGACUCCGCACGAGAGUUCUUUGUGAGAGAUUUCGGUUUUCUUAGUGUUUUGACUUGCCUUUCGUAGUAUAGAUUCUGGACCGUGAUUGAGAAAUCACGGUGGUCACAGCCGUGGUGGUCUCAAUCAUGCUUUUCUCAGUGACUUUACCUUGUAUUUCCAUUUCAAUUUCAAUGAAUUUCUGCGUUUUCAUUUUAAUGUUCUUGUCCAAUUUAUGUUUUUGUUCUUUAUUUUGAUGCUUGCACUACUUUUAUAUUUUCCAGCAUUUAAUUUUGUUUCCAUUU